UAGGACAUAGGAGUGACCUUGGGAAG
Molecule: non-coding RNA, 26 nt
Filed under: Rattus norvegicus (Norway rat)
Lineage: Eukaryota; Metazoa; Chordata; Mammalia; Rodentia; Muridae
Source: RNAcentral